Long non-coding RNA from Fopius arisanus, 565 nucleotides. RefSeq lists it as uncharacterized. The transcript is spliced from 3 exons. Lineage: Eukaryota; Metazoa; Arthropoda; Insecta; Hymenoptera; Braconidae. The record is from RefSeq and is a predicted model, not a curated record.
UAAUUACUGAUACAUGUCGUGUCGUAAAUAAUAAGUAUUUCCUCACAGGACACUUACGAGGGAAAGACAGGAUAAAUAAAAUUGAUGAAAAAAGCAUUUGAUGAUUGAUUGACUACAGUUAUAUCGACUGUCACCGGAAAGACGUGGAAUUAUGCAUCCCAGUUUAAACGAGCACGACAAAUAACCAUUGGAGAUAGUUUUAUUUAAAAACCGUAUUUGUAUUUUAGUUAGAGAAUUUUACCUCUGCAUUUUCAUUCUGAAGGAUUCACUUGAACUUCAAUUGAACAGUGGAAAAUGAAGAGCUGCAGGUCAGCACCUAUGGCCUGAUCAGUCAGUGCUGAAUGCGUUGACGAAACAUUUCCACUGAUGAAAUGCUAAUCUAUCAAUCGAAGUGAGAAUUAUCAUCAAUAUUUUAUCAAGCCGUAGAAAUCCCACGAGACAGAACGUUUUCUUUCAUUAACAGCAACAAUAUUGAUUAAAAAAUAUAUUUUAUGGACAAAUUUAACAGUAAUAAAUUAAACAGUAAUCUUCAGAAGAGGAUAUUAAAGACAGUUUCGGGGAGAAA